GAAUGUGAGGGUGAUCUGGCUGUGACAACUGUUCACCAUUGAUCACCAGGGUUGAUUUGGCUGAUCUGGCUGGCUAGGUGGGUGUCCCUUCCUUCCUCACUGCUCCGUAUUUGUCCCUCCCAAUGUGACCAUCCUCGAUAGAGGACGACCAGUCUUCUGUCAAGGGCAUAUGAGUAGCUGUUAUCCCCCUGCUAGAUUUUCAAACAAGCUCUCAAGGUCAUGAGAGAAUGGGGCAGAUCUUGUCCAGUAUAGUUGCAGAAAGGUGACAAAUAUGGUGGUAGCACUGUAAAU
This 291-nucleotide small nuclear RNA is filed under the name Saimiri boliviensis boliviensis (Bolivian squirrel monkey). RNAcentral's name for it is "7SK RNA (ENSSBOG00000002102.1)". It matches the Rfam family "7SK RNA". From Rfam's summary of the family: 7SK was discovered as an abundant small nuclear RNA in the mid-70s but a possible function has only recently been suggested. The record is from Rfam by way of RNAcentral. Lineage: Eukaryota; Metazoa; Chordata; Mammalia; Primates; Cebidae.